This is a long non-coding RNA of Habropoda laboriosa, 237 nucleotides long. RefSeq lists it as uncharacterized. Lineage: Eukaryota; Metazoa; Arthropoda; Insecta; Hymenoptera; Apidae. The record is from RefSeq and is a predicted model, not a curated record. The transcript has 3 exons.
CACGAGUUCCGUCGGCUGGGCGACGUGUGUUGUGGGUAUAAUCGUAAACCGGUCUUCUUGGUUUCGUGGCAAGAGUCAACGGUAUGACUUCCUUGGCAUAACUUCCCAUAUAUAACACCUGGGCUGCAGAUUCUUCGAAGAUGACGAGCAGACACGCGGAACGAGUCUUCCUCCGUGACCGAUGGAUACAACGGAAAACUGCAGAACUACCAACCGAAACGAGAACCCGUUACGUCC